CCUACGGGAGGCAGCAGUGAGGAAUAUUGGUCAAUGGGCGGGAGCCUGAACCAGCCAAGUCGCGUGAGGGACGACGGUCCUAUGGAUUGUAAACCUCUUUUGUCGGGGAACAAAGGCGCCCACGGGUGGGCGGAUGAGUGUACCCGAAGAAAAAGCAUCGGCUAACUCCGUGCCAGCAGCCGCGGUAAUACGUAGGUGGCAAGCGUUGUCCGGAUUUACUGGGUGUAAAGGGCGUGUAGCCGGGCUGACAAGUCAGAUGUGAAAUCCGGGGGCUCAACCCCCGAACUGCAUUUGAAACUGUUGGUUGUGAGUAUCGGAGAGGCAGGCGGAAUUCCUAGUGUAGCGGUGAAAUGCGUAGAUAUUAGGAGGAACACCAGUGGCGAAGGCGGCCUGCUGGACGACAACUGACGGUGAGGCGCGAAAGCGUGGGGAGCAAACAGGAUUAGAUACCCCAGUAGUC
RNAcentral lists this ribosomal RNA (460 nucleotides) under uncultured bacterium. RNAcentral's name for it is "partial 16S ribosomal RNA". It matches the Rfam family "Bacterial small subunit ribosomal RNA", at positions 338 to 795 of the family's 1533-position model. The record is from RNAcentral.